Molecule: transfer RNA, 81 nt
Filed under: Lecanorchis kiusiana
Lineage: Eukaryota; Viridiplantae; Streptophyta; Magnoliopsida; Asparagales; Orchidaceae
Description: tRNA-Cys
Source: RNAcentral
UAUUUUUAUAAGGCGACACCCAGAUUCGAACUGAGGAUGAAGGAUUUGCAGUCCCCCGCCGUACCCCUUGGCCAUGCCGCC